AUACGGAGGGUACAAGCGUUAGUCGGAAUUACUGGGCGUAAAGCGUACGUAGGCGGUUAUUUAAGUCAGAUGUGAAAGCCCCGGGCUUAACUUGGGAACUGCAUUUGAAACUGGGUAACUAGAGUUUAGUAGAGGGGAGUGGAAUUUCAGGUGUAGCGGUGAAAUGCGUAGAGAUCUGAAGGAACACCAGUGGCGAAGGCGACUCCCUGGACUAAGACUGACGCUGAGGUACGAAAGCGUGGGUAGCAAACAGGAUUAGAUACCCUUGUAGUCC
Molecule: ribosomal RNA, 274 nt
Filed under: uncultured bacterium
Lineage: Bacteria
Description: partial 16S ribosomal RNA
Rfam family: Bacterial small subunit ribosomal RNA
Source: RNAcentral